GCUGGGUGGAGGUGCAUACCUGUAAUCCCAGCAACUCAGGAGGCUGAGGCAGGAGAAUCGCAAGUUCAAGGCCAGCCUCAGCAACUUGGCGAGAUCCUGUCUCAA
This 105-nucleotide small RNA is filed under the name Marmota monax (woodchuck). The record is from RNAcentral. Lineage: Eukaryota; Metazoa; Chordata; Mammalia; Rodentia; Sciuridae.